This is a non-coding RNA of Gossypium raimondii (Peruvian cotton), 107 nucleotides long. The record is from Rfam. NCBI's taxonomy places the organism in Eukaryota, Viridiplantae, Streptophyta, Magnoliopsida, Malvales, Malvaceae.
AAUCCAUGCAUCAGACAUUUCAAAAUUAACUCCUUAAAUCGUUCCCAAGCUUCAUAUAGCAUUUCAUCAUCUAAUUUUUGAAAAAAAUUGAUGUCAUUUCUAAACUU